UACGUAGGGGGCUAGCGUGGUCCGGAUUUAUUGGGCGUAAAGAGCGUGUAGGCGGCCAGGUAGGUCUGGUGUGAAAACUCGAGGCUUAACCUCGAGAUGUCAUCGGAAACCAUCUGGCUAGAGUCCGGAAGAGGAGAGUGGAAUUCCUGGUGUAGCGGUGAAAUGCGCAGAUAUCAGGAAGAACACCAAUGGCGAAGGCAGCUCUCUGGGACGGUACUGACGCUGAGACGCGAAAGCGUGGGGAGCGAACAGG
Molecule: ribosomal RNA, 253 nt
Filed under: uncultured bacterium
Lineage: Bacteria
Description: partial 16S ribosomal RNA
Rfam family: Bacterial small subunit ribosomal RNA
Source: RNAcentral